UUCAUCCAGGCAAGGGCCAGUUGCAGUUCCAAAGACCUGCUGUCGUUUAGAAUGUAUUGAGAACCAAAAGGAGUAACAUAUCUUUCAAUAAGGACAAGAAGUGACACAGACACCACCAACAAGGAAGACUCCUGGGCCAAAGCCACAGUGACCAAGGAAAAUAAAAACAAACACCUUUCA
This 180-nucleotide small RNA is filed under the name Rattus norvegicus (Norway rat). RNAcentral describes it as "uncharacterized LOC108350367". Lineage: Eukaryota; Metazoa; Chordata; Mammalia; Rodentia; Muridae. The record is from RNAcentral.